AGGACUUUAGUUAAAUUAAUAAUAUUAGUUUGUCAGACUAUAGUUGCUGUUAGAGCAAGCCCUG
RNAcentral lists this transfer RNA (64 nucleotides) under Pterobdella arugamensis. Its description in RNAcentral is "tRNA-Asp". Lineage: Eukaryota; Metazoa; Annelida; Clitellata; Hirudinida; Piscicolidae. The record is from RNAcentral.